RNAcentral lists this ribosomal RNA (431 nucleotides) under TM7 phylum sp. oral taxon 346. RNAcentral's name for it is "bacterial SSU rRNA". It matches the Rfam family "Bacterial small subunit ribosomal RNA", at positions 28 to 488 of the family's 1533-position model. Lineage: Bacteria; Candidatus Saccharimonadota. The record is from RNAcentral.
GAUGAACGCUGGCGGCGUGCCUAACACAUGCAAGUCGAGCGGCAGCGCGAGUAGUUUACUACUUGGCGGCGAGCGGCGGACGGCUGAGUAACGCGUGGGAAUUUGCCCCAAAGUGAGGAAUAACUGCCCGAAAGGGUGGCUAAUGCCGCAUAUGAUCUUCGGAUUAAAGGAUUUAUCCGCUUUGGGAGAAGCCCGCGUCGGAUUAGGUAGUUGGUGAGGUAAUGGCUCACCAAGCCGACGAUCCGUAGCUGGUCUGAGAGGAUGACCAGCCAGACUGGAACUGAGACACGGUCCAGACUCCUACGGGAGGCAGCAGUGAGGAAUCUUCCACAAUGGGCGAAAGCCUGAUGGAGCAACGCCGCGUGCAGGAUGAAGGCCUUUCGGGUUGUAAACUGCUUUAUAAGUGAGGAAAUGACGGUAGCUGAUGAAUA